GGGGAUUUAGCUCAGUGGUAGAGCACUUGCCUAGCAAGUACAAGGCCCUGGGUUCGGUCCCCAGCUCCA
This 69-nucleotide transfer RNA is filed under the name Rattus norvegicus (Norway rat). It matches the Rfam family "tRNA". From Rfam's summary of the family: Transfer RNA (tRNA) molecules are approximately 80 nucleotides in length. Their secondary structure includes four short double-helical elements and three loops (D, anti-codon, and T loops). The record is from Rfam by way of RNAcentral. Lineage: Eukaryota; Metazoa; Chordata; Mammalia; Rodentia; Muridae.